RNAcentral lists this ribosomal RNA (749 nucleotides) under Tricholoma matsutake. Its description in RNAcentral is "partial small subunit ribosomal RNA". It matches the Rfam family "Bacterial small subunit ribosomal RNA", at positions 411 to 1036 of the family's 1533-position model. The record is from RNAcentral. Lineage: Eukaryota; Fungi; Basidiomycota; Agaricomycetes; Agaricales; Tricholomataceae.
AAAUCAUUAUGAGUCAUUAAUUUGGUGAUUAUGAUAACAUAAGGGAAAAAAAAUGAUAUUACCUUAUUAUUAGUGUUGUCCAAAACUGGUGCCAGAAGACUCGGUAAGACCAGAGACGCAAACGUUAGUCAUCUUAAUCAGGCGUAAAGGGUGUGUAGGCUGCUUUAAAAGUUUAAAUCUUUUUAAUAGCUCUUUUGCCGUUGUCCUGCCAUUAUUUAUUUUAUUUAUAAAAUAAUAAACAAUAAUGAAUAUAAAGGCAGUACAUUUUUAAUUUUAUUAAUAUUAAUUUAAUUUAAUAAUUAUAAAGGGGACAAAAAAGAUAUCCCGGUUUAAGUAAAAAGAAUAAAAUGAAUUAAAGCUAGAAUCAAAUUGAGGAUAAACCAAAUAAUACUUAGAGUAGGGCCGAUAUCCGCAGAUACUAAGGGGAAUACUAAAGGUGAAAGCUUUUUAUCUACUAUUGAUUGACGCUGAGAAACGAAGGUGAGAACAGGAAAUAGGAUUUGAUACCCAGAUACCUCUCACUGUCAACGAUGAAUGGUGGUUGUUAGUUUUAAUAAAAACUGGUAACGAUGUUAACACGAUAACCAUUCCGCCUUGCGAGUACGGUUGCAAAACUGAAACCAAAAAAAUUAGUCGGUUUCGAAGCAAACGAAGUGAGCAUGUUAUUUAAUACGAGAGUACUUGCAUAUCCAGUUUGUUUCUAAUGAGACAGAUUGAGUAAUUUUUAUAUUUUUAAAAAUUCGUUUACA